CGGGGCUGCCGCUCUCUCCGCCGCCCUGGAAGGAAGGAAGGCAGGCAAACCGGCAGCCUGAGGCGGCACCGGCUUUAGCCAGGGCUUGUCCUCUGGAAAGGAGCCCCUCCGUGCCCCUGCAGAACGAGGGGCCCCGUUAACGCCGCCAGGAAGCUAGCCGGGAGGCGCCACCAGUAAGUGGGCUGGCCUGGCCUCCUGAGGGCCGGGAAGGCCCGGCUGCGAGAGGGCCGGCUACCGAAAGGGUAUUUCCAGACAUGGCGAAACUAUGUGGGGAGCCUCAGGAGGUGGGAGUUCCUUCUACCUGGGCUUUCCCAGCCUGUGCGAUGAGGCCCUGCUUGAGGAACCGGAGGAAAGGAGGACAGAGAAAUUGGCAGAAAGGCCUUGGAUAUUAUACCAAAAAUAGCUUCUCAGAUAUUUCACAGAAAAACAUGUGAUAUCUUGCACUGGCAACCCUGGACAAAACUUCUGAUGUUCUCUACGUGACAGUAACGUGCCCUGGGAAGCUCUUGCGGACACAGCCCCACCUGAAAUGGAAGAGCCCCCAGGAAUUGGGCUGGGAACCUUCACACACACAAAUGUCAGCCACAGCUCCAGAGGGGGCAGGAGCAAU
Molecule: long non-coding RNA, 610 nt
Organism: Zonotrichia leucophrys gambelii
Lineage: Eukaryota; Metazoa; Chordata; Aves; Passeriformes; Passerellidae
Exons: 3
Source: RefSeq, a predicted model, not a curated record